RNAcentral lists this long non-coding RNA (415 nucleotides) under Vigna radiata. Its description in RNAcentral is "long non-coding RNA (VRAD_LNC010998)". Lineage: Eukaryota; Viridiplantae; Streptophyta; Magnoliopsida; Fabales; Fabaceae. The record is from RNAcentral.
GUUUCUCCCUGCAUCUCACUCCUUUCUUCCUACACUUCCCAAAUUACCAUUUUGUCNCUCAUUUAAUUUAGUCAAAGCUCAUUUAAUGAUUACUUAAUUAUCUCUGUUUCCUAACCACUAUUCUUAACUACUAACAACCAACAACUCUGAUUAUAAACCCUAACACCACUUAACAUGCACCUCCCUCACCUCCUUCGUGUGUACUAUUACUCUUCAUUGUCUGAAGCCGAGAGAAUGGAUACUAGGUUAUUGGUUUGGUGAUCGGUGGUGUUGAUUCGUGCUAGUGGUGAUCAGUGCUGGUGGGAUAUUUGUUGGUGGUGCUGCAGUAGAAGAAGAUAAAGCGCGAGGAAGAAGACAAGCAAAAAGAGGUUAGUCUCAGAACCAAAUAACCGCACUUCGAUCAGCGGUUAUGGNN